This 1153-nucleotide long non-coding RNA is filed under the name Gallus gallus (chicken). Its description in RNAcentral is "long non-coding RNA NONGGAT004011". The record is from RNAcentral. Lineage: Eukaryota; Metazoa; Chordata; Aves; Galliformes; Phasianidae.
UCCAAUUUAAUUCAAUAUAUAGGGGUAUGUUUUAUAUAUAGGUGUUAUGGUACCCUUUGGUUUGGGUCUUGUCCUGGAAAAAUAAAAUUAAGUACCACACACACACACACACUCUUUAAAAAAAAAAAAAAAAAAAAAAAAGGGCGGUAAAUUCCAAAGCAAGACAGAAAGGCCUGGUGGUUUUUCUGAGGGGGUUAUUAUUUCGAAGCUAGCAGGGUUUGGGUUCUGCCCAGGCCAGUGCUUUACCAUGACAGCAGUCUGAGAGCUGCAGCUGUCCCUGCAUAGCUUUGCAGUAUGGAUCUCCCUUCACUGUACACCCUGCUACCCUUUGAAAUGCAUGAGGCAUACAAACAAACAAACAAACAAAAACACAGCAGUAUUUUAGCCAUACGUGCACAGGUAACUAAAUUCUAUCAUCCCGCAGAGAACGGUUGGAGCCCUUCCUAUCCCCAGUUCGUCCCCACAGCCAAAGCCAAGCUUGCGGGCCUCUCACCACCACAGACCAAGGAAACGCCAAUCUUAUCCUCGAGCAGUCGUCGAGGGCUGCUGCAGCCUCGCCUCCGCCGCCCCACGGUGCCUCCUGCCGUCCCCGGCAGCGUCGCACGUUGCUGCCACUGCAGGCCCGCACGGCCCACGCGUGAGCCCUUCCGCUGACUGCCGCUGCCGUCAGUGGGGAGGGGCGGCCGCGCCCGGAUCGCGAUUACAGCCGUCACGGCGAUUGGGGUAGCGCACCCGUCGAGACCACCGCCUCUGGGUGGGCACGGCGCUGCACAAAAUGGCGGCGGGGUAAAGGGUUGAGGAAGGGCUGGUGAGGCACGGGGCCAGGGUGGGAGCGCUGCCUGGGUGGCGCUGCCGUCAGGGCAGCUGUGCGAACAGGGAGACCCCUUGGCAUGCCUGCUUGGCGAGGAGCCUAAGGCGUGUGAGGGGGAUCACUUUGCAGUAAUCACAGUGUGAUUACCUGGACAGUGUGGAUGGUAGCUCAGGUUCCAGUUCAUUAACAGACUGGAAAGAUUUACUCUAAAUGUGGAGCAUAGUAAAAAGAUGAUUUGAGGUUGCUUCUACAUGAAUUACAUGAAACGUAUUCUCCAUUUUGUGAGCCUGAUCUGAAGCUUGUUGAAGUCAGAGGAAGAAGUCCAGAUUUUUUUCAGUAGUU